RNAcentral lists this long non-coding RNA (1597 nucleotides) under Salmo trutta (river trout). Its description in RNAcentral is "lncRNA (ENSSTUG00000026391.1)". Lineage: Eukaryota; Metazoa; Chordata; Actinopteri; Salmoniformes; Salmonidae. The record is from RNAcentral.
AUGCAGGUACCUCCAGCGCUCCCUCCUGCCUCACGUUCGGCCCCGGUCCCUGCUGAUCUACCCCAGGCCCCUUGUAUCCACCCCAGGCUUCUGAACUUGCCCCAGUGGGGUGAAGACCAAAAGAGGGUGAUGUCCUUCCUUCCUGUCUCUCUCUCCCUUAAAAUGCAGCUGGUGAUUCCAGAGAUCUGGUGGGCAACUCUCAACAAGAAGCAGCAGCAGUGGAUUGACCAGACGCUGUUUACCAGGAGCUGCCUACAGAGCUCCCAGUUCAUCACUGUCCUUUCCCUGGUGGGGUGGAGACCAGAAGAGGGUGAUGUCCUUCCUGUCUCCAAGGCCUGCCUCAGAAAGUGCUGGGUACCCAACCAGGAGCUGCCUACAGAGCUCCCAGUUCAUCACUGUCCUUUCCCUGGUGGGGUGGAGACCAGAAGAGGGUGAUGUCCUUCCUGUCUCCAAGGCCUGCCUCAGAAUGUGCUGAGGUGAGUUUUUAUAAUAAAUGAGAAGCUUAGAAAUGGUAAUAAUAAUAUUUUCUUCUCUCAUGAUCUAUCAAUGCCUCAAUGUUCACCCAGUGGCAUCCUUUUUAACUAAAUUAUUAUAUAUUCUGUGAUGAUAUCUGGGAGAAGAUGAGUCCUGUCUGGUAUAAUUAGUGGUCAGACUGGACAAGGAGGGUUGGAUAAACUCCUCUGUAUGAAGAUGAGUCCUGUCUGGUAUAAUUAGUGGUCAGACUGGACAAGGAGGGUUGGAUAAACUCCUCUGUAUGAAGAUGAUUCCUGUCUGGUAUAAUUAGUGGUCAGACUGGACAAGGAGGGUUGGAUAAACUCCUCUGUAUGUGGAACAGGUGGAACUAUUUAGAAUGUGUAACAAUCAAACCUCCCUAUUGGCUGUGUUCCACAUUCUAAAGUAGAACCAUCAUUUUACUUGCUGAAAUAUUGUCCAGAAAUGACCUCAUUGGACAGAAAGGGGAACUCCUCCCCUCACGCAUGUUGAACAAAUAUAAUGUUUCCCUGAAACAAAGGAUUCCUGUAGUUUCAUGAAAUAAGAAAUGUAUUCAUAGUAUAUCAUCCAACAUUCAGUAGCAACACUGCUAAGAGGUUUUGUUUAAAUCCAUUGAUGACUUUUAGUUUUAUUGAAGAAGAAAAAGGGUUUUGAGGCCCUAAAGUAAAUAUUCUAUCCUCCUGUCUUUUUGUUAAAUUAUUGACCUGUGGAACAUUCACCUACUGGGUCAAUUAUAACAUUUAAUAUCCUCCACUUGGUUGAAUUGUAAAUGACUGGUAGGUCCUGGGAACAUACUUAGUGUGUAAUGGUAGCUGGGAUAUGUUGUUUGUAUAAAAAUAUGAUGAAUCUAACUUAAAUAAUAUUUUCAUAAUAAACUAAAGUGUAAAAGUGUUAGUUUGUUCCCCAGUCUCCUCUACUCUGACUGAGAAAAGGCCUCCUCAACUGAAGAAUCUACAGCUGCUGAGUCUGAGGUGUUAAUCAGUCCAGUGCUGCUCUGACCACAGUGUUGUUAGGAACCACAUUUUCUAAUGCUACAUACACAGCCUUGUGUCAACUCUUACUGUGAACUACUUCAGUUUCUGGAAAUAAACUCAGCAGAGGUCAG